AUUGAACGCUGGCGGCAUGCCUUACACAUGCAAGUCGAACGGUAACAGGUCUUCGGAUGCUGACGAGUGGCGAACGGGUGAGUAAUACAUCGGAACGUGCCUAGUAGUGGGGGAUAACUACUCGAAAGAGUGGCUAAUACCGCAUGAGAUCUACGGAUGAAAGCAGGGGAUCGCAAGACCUUGUGCUACUAGAGCGGCCGAUGGCAGAUUAGGUAGUUGGUGGGAUAAAAGCUUACCAAGCCGACGAUCUGUAGCUGGUCUGAGAGGACGAUCAGCCACACGGGGACUGGGACACGGCCCAGCCUCCGACGGGAGGCAGCAGUGGGGCAUUUUGGACAAUGGGCGAAAGCCUGAUCCAGCAAUGCCGCGUGCAGGAUGAAGGCCUUCGGGUUGUAAGCUGCUUUUGUACGGAACGAAAAGCCCUGGGUUAAUACCCUGGGGUCAUGACGGUACCGUAAGAAUAAGCACCGGCUAACUACGUGCCAGCCGCCGCCGUAA
This 498-nucleotide ribosomal RNA is filed under the name uncultured bacterium. RNAcentral describes it as "partial 16S ribosomal RNA". It matches the Rfam family "Bacterial small subunit ribosomal RNA", at positions 30 to 523 of the family's 1533-position model. The record is from RNAcentral.